UUCUUCUGCACAAGGAGUGGCAGCUGAAUGCUCUUACCAUUACUCAUGCAUCUAGCUCAUGUGAUAUUUAAGUUGGUGUUUAUUGAUUUGAUGAAAGGGAAAGUGCCUCGGGCAAUUAUCUAAUAAUUGGAUGGUCCAGAUUCAGUUAAAAAUAAAAGAUAGGCAUCUAUGACUGAUAGCCCCAAUUCCCAUCUCUCCUCACCUAAUAUCCAUGUUAAACCCUCUGAUGGCACAAAAGAAGGUCCUACCACAUUUCCUCUCUCAUGUUCAGGCCUUGGCUCAUCACUGUUUCCAUCAGGGGAUAACUUAUAUGGUUAUCUUCCUUUUGGCUACAUUAGUAGGAUCCAUUCUUCGUAGAAACCAUGAAGGAGGAGGCCCAGCAGGAAGGUAAUAUUCAGUGCCUUAAAACACAACUCAACCAAAGUACUCAGAUUUUGGCCGAGGCGAGUUUCUCGGCCAAAUAAUUACUAAUAUUUGCUUACAGCUGAAAAUCCGAAUUUCAGUUUUGGCCGAGGCGAGUUUCUCGGCCGAAUAAUUACUAAUAUUUGCUUACAGCUGAAAAUCUAAAUUUCACAAGUUGUAGCCGGCUCAUUGCCAUGUAAAUUCUACCGGUGACGGGUAUAUUAUUGAUUGCACAACUUAUAUUGCCUGACUUUGGACGAGCAGCACAUGUUAUCUGCUCAUUCUCAUCCUCACUGACACCACUUGCUUUGAGACUCAUCACUUUACUUAAGUUGAAGCACCUGGAGCAAGCUCACCAGCAUAUGUUUCCUUAGGAUCAGAGAGUGAAUACUAGAGGAUGAUCGAGACAUCGGUGAAGGUGUUGAUGCCUUCUCUUAAAGGCUCGGAUUCUUCCUCAUGCUUUUCAGAAUCUUCAGAUGAUACAUCAGAAGCACCAUUGUUUUUGCUCCCUUCUCUACAGUCCCCAACCCAAAUAAUAACUCCAAUACUCGCUGUGUCUUUCACGCCCAAAGUGUUCACUCCUAUACCCAACAGGAUAUUCUGAUGUCAAUUUUGACGACUCUGACAGAGAUGGAGAGAGCUAUCGUGAUUUAUACUCAGAUAUUUUCCUGUACAAGUAUAGUGAAAAGUAGGUCUGGCAACGGGUUGGGUAUGGCUGAACUCGGACCCGGACCUGAAUGUAUUCGGGUCCCAAAGUUGGACUCAUACAUGUACCCGUCAGUUCAUGGGUCUAUCUCGUCGGAUCACGGGUGUAGCUGGAUCCAUUACCACCAUUAUUAUGAUUUUUUUUUUUUUAACCUUUUUUAACUAUCAUAUACGAUUAUUAUUGACAACAAGAUCAC
This 1304-nucleotide long non-coding RNA is filed under the name Amborella trichopoda. RNAcentral describes it as "long non-coding RNA (ATRI_LNC001834)". The record is from RNAcentral. Lineage: Eukaryota; Viridiplantae; Streptophyta; Magnoliopsida; Amborellales; Amborellaceae.